ACUCCUACGGGAGGCAGCAGUAGGGAAUCUUCCACAAUGGACGAAAGUCUGAUGGAGCAACGCCGCGUGAGUGAAGAAGGGUUUCGGCUCGUAAAACUCUGUUGUUAAAGAAGAACAUAUCUGAGAGUAACUGUUCAGGUAUUGACGGUAUUUAACCAGAAAGCCACGGCUAACUACGUGCCAGCAGCCGCGGUAAUACGUAGGUGGCAAGCGUUGUCCGGAUUUAUUGGGCGUAAAGCGAGCGCAGGCGGUUUUUAAAGUCUGAUGUGAAAGCCUUCGGCUCAACCGAAGAAGUGCAUCGGAAACUGGGAAACUUGAGUGCAGAAGAGGACAGUGGAACUCCAUGUGUAGCGGUGAAAUGCGUAGAUAUAUGGAAGAACACCAGUGGCGAAGGCGGCUGUCUGGUCUGUAACUGACGCUGAGGCUCGAAAGUAUGGGUAGCAAACAGGAUUAGAUACCCCUGGUAGGAUAGCG
This 474-nucleotide ribosomal RNA is filed under the name uncultured bacterium. RNAcentral describes it as "bacterial SSU rRNA". It matches the Rfam family "Bacterial small subunit ribosomal RNA", at positions 335 to 802 of the family's 1533-position model. The record is from RNAcentral.